Long non-coding RNA from Aegilops tauschii subsp. strangulata, 456 nucleotides. RefSeq lists it as uncharacterized. NCBI's taxonomy places the organism in Eukaryota, Viridiplantae, Streptophyta, Magnoliopsida, Poales, Poaceae. The record is from RefSeq and is a predicted model, not a curated record.
UCAAUGUCUCUGCCGUGGCGGAUCUGCAAGUGGCACCGCAAGCGGAGCGGGAGGCAGCGCAACAGCGGUGGACAGCGGCGAAGCACAAAUCUUCUUGGCGAAGGAGGCGGCGACGAACAGAAGGGAGAGCUCGCCACCAAGGUCGGACCUGUCGACGGGGAAGAUGAAUCCCCAAGCACUGGGGUGGAACAAAAGGUGGAGAGGGCGUCCCAAUGAUAGCCACAACAAGUUCAGGAAGAAUCUUGGAGCACCUUCUAUCAAGGAUUUGAACUUUUGAAGCCAUCUCUGUUCUCUUUCGGCUCCGCUUGAUGGAUGACCAAAAGUAGCUUUAUAUCCCCAUGAAAGUCUCGAAUGUUCCAGAAGUAUUGUUCAUGUACAUUAUGAAAAUGCUAUUCGGUUGAGUCAUGUUUUUAUUCUAUCAAAUGAUGAUUUUUUUAGUAUAGUCGACAGUAAAAA